AGUGAACGCUGGCGGUAGGCCUAACACAUGCAAGUCGAACGGCAGCACAGUAAGAUCUUGCUCUUACGGGUGGCGAGUGGCGGACGGGUGAGGAAUACAUCGGAAUCUACUUUUUCGUGGGGGAUAACGUAGGGAAACUUACGCUAAUACCGCAUACGACCUACGGGUGAAAGCAGGGGAUCUUCGGACCUUGCGCGAUUGAAUGAGCCGAUGUCGGAUUAGCUAGUUGGCGGGGUAAAGGCCCACCAAGGCGACGAUCCGUAGCUGGUCUGAGAGGAUGAUCAGCCACACUGGAACUGAGACACGGUCCAGACUCCUACGGGAGGCAGCAGUGGGGAAUAUUGGACAAUGGGCGAAAGCCUGAUCCAGCCAUACCGCGUGAGUGAAGAAGGUCUUCGGGUUGUAAAGCCCUUUUGUUGGGAAAGAAAAGCAGCAGGUUAAUACCCCGCUGUUCUGACGGUACCCAAAGAAUAAGCACCGGCUAACUUCGUG
This 492-nucleotide ribosomal RNA is filed under the name uncultured bacterium. Its description in RNAcentral is "partial 16S ribosomal RNA". It matches the Rfam family "Bacterial small subunit ribosomal RNA", at positions 29 to 507 of the family's 1533-position model. The record is from RNAcentral.